Molecule: ribosomal RNA, 253 nt
Filed under: uncultured bacterium
Lineage: Bacteria
Description: partial 16S ribosomal RNA
Rfam family: Bacterial small subunit ribosomal RNA
Source: RNAcentral
UACGUAGGGACCAAGCGUUGUUCGGAUUUACUGGGCGUAAAGGGCGCGUAGGCGGCAAUUCAAGUCAUCUGUGAAAUCCCCGGGCUUAACCUGGGAACUGCAUUUGUGACUGCACGGCUAGAGUGCGGCAGAGGGGGAUGGAAUUCCGCGUGUAGCAGUGAAAUGCGUAGAUAUGCGGAGGAACACCGAUGGCGAAGGCAAUCCCCUGGGCCUGCACUGACGCUCAUGCACGAAAGCGUGGGGAGCAAACAGG